CAACCCUGGUGGCGAGUGGCGAACGGGUGAGUAAUACAUCGGAACGUGUCCUGUAGUGGGGGAUAGCCCGGCGAAAGCCGGAUUAAUACCGCAUACGCUCUACGGAGGAAAGGGGGGGAUCUUAGGACCUCCCGCUACAGGGGCGGCCGAUGGCAGAUUAGCUAGUUGGUGGGGUAAAGGCCUACCAAGGCGACGAUCUGUAGCUGGUCUGAGAGGACGACCAGCCACACUGGGACUGAGACACGGCCCAGACUCCUACGGGAGGCAGCAGUGGGGAAUUUUGGACAAUGGGGGCAACCCUGAUCCAGCAAUGCCGCGUGUGUGAAGAAGGCCUUCGGGUUGUAAAGCACUUUUGUCCGGAAAGAAAACGCCGUGGUUAAUACCCGUGGCGGAUGACGGUACCGGAAGAAUAAGCACCGGCUAACUACGUGCCAGCAGCCGCGGUAAUACGUAGGGUGCAAGCGUUAAUCGGAAUUACUGGGCGUAAAGCGUGCGCAGGCGGUCCGCUAAGACAGAUGUGAAAUCCCCGGGCUUAACCUGGGAACUGCAUUUGUGACUGGCGGGCUAGAGUAUGGCAGAGGGGGGUAGAAUUCCACGUGUAGCAGUGAAAUGCGUAGAGAUGUGGAGGAAUACCGAUGGCGAAGGCAGCCCCCUGGGCCAAUACUGACGCUCAUGCACGA
Molecule: ribosomal RNA, 680 nt
Filed under: Paraburkholderia sp.
Lineage: Bacteria; Pseudomonadati; Pseudomonadota; Betaproteobacteria; Burkholderiales; Burkholderiaceae
Description: bacterial SSU rRNA
Rfam family: Bacterial small subunit ribosomal RNA
Source: RNAcentral